Molecule: ribosomal RNA, 466 nt
Filed under: uncultured bacterium
Lineage: Bacteria
Description: partial 16S ribosomal RNA
Rfam family: Bacterial small subunit ribosomal RNA
Source: RNAcentral
GACGAACGCUGGCGGCGUGCUUAACACAUGCAAGUCGAACGGAAAGGCCCUGCUUGCAGGGUACUCGAGUGGCGAACGGGUGAGUAACACGUGGGUGAUCUGCCCUGCACUUCGGGAUAAGCUUGGGAAACUGGGUCUAAUACCGGAGAGGAGCCAUCUUUAGUGUGGUGGUUGGAAAGUUUUUUCGGUGUAGGAUGAGCUCGCGGCCUAUCAGCUUGUUGGUGGGGUAAUGGCCUACCAAGGCGGCGACGGGUAGCCGGCCUGAGAGGGUGUACGGCCACAUUUGGACUGAGAUACGGCCCCGACUCCUACGGGAGGCAGCAGUGGGGAAUAUUGCACAAUGGGCGCAAGCCUGAUGCAGCGACGCCGCGUGGGGGAUGAAGGCCUUCGGGUUGUAAACUCCUUUCGCUAGGGACGAAGCUUUUUUGUGACGGUACCUAGAUAAGAAGCACCGGCUAACUACGUG